Molecule: microRNA precursor, 96 nt
Filed under: Olea europaea subsp. europaea
Lineage: Eukaryota; Viridiplantae; Streptophyta; Magnoliopsida; Lamiales; Oleaceae
Source: RNAcentral
AACGUUCAUUUACUGUUGCAAAAAUUUUUUUAGCAACGUUCAACGAAUGUUGCAAAAAGGUUUUUUGCAACAGUCAAUGAAUGUUGCGAAAAAUAA